GAUGAACGUGACAGAAUGCUUAACACAUGCAAGUCAACUUGAAUUUGGGUUUUUAACUUAGAUUUGGGUGGCGGACGGGUGAGUAACGCGUAGAGAACUUGCCUCACAGUUAGGGACAACAUUUAGAAAUGAAUGCUAAUACCUGAUAUUAUGGUUAUAGGGCAUUCCUAUAACUAUGAAAGCUAUAAGCACUGUGAGAGAGCUUUGCGUCCCAUUAGCUAGUUGGAGAGGUAACAGCUCACCAAGGCGAUGAUGGGUAGCCGGCCUGAGAGGGUGAACGGCCACAAGGGGACUGAGACACGGCCCUUACUCCUACGGGAGGCAGCAGUGGGGAAUAUUGGACAAUGGACCGAGAGUCUGAUCCAGCAAUUCUGUGUGCACGAUGAAGUUUUUUCG
Molecule: ribosomal RNA, 396 nt
Filed under: Fusobacterium sp. oral taxon H27
Lineage: Bacteria; Fusobacteriati; Fusobacteriota; Fusobacteriia; Fusobacteriales; Fusobacteriaceae
Description: bacterial SSU rRNA
Rfam family: Bacterial small subunit ribosomal RNA
Source: RNAcentral